Molecule: long non-coding RNA, 3099 nt
Organism: Hipposideros armiger (great roundleaf bat)
Lineage: Eukaryota; Metazoa; Chordata; Mammalia; Chiroptera; Hipposideridae
Exons: 3
Source: RefSeq, a predicted model, not a curated record
UCCCCCUCCCCUCCCCUCCCCUCGGCUGCCGCAGCCCCGCUCGUCGCGCGCGUCAGCGUGGGCUCCCCGGAGCGAGUCGCUAGGUAACGGGGCUGGCUCCGCAGACCCGGGCCGGGGAAGCCCGCGCGCGGGGCGUCAGCAGCGGCGCUGUGGGACGCAGGGAUCCUCCUCCCUCCGGGCCUGCAGCCCCCGGCGGGCAUGCAGCCCCCUCCCAGGAUGCCUUAACCUUCGCCCUCGCCGUUCGCCGCCGCUGGGGUGCCCCUCCCUUGCAGGGACCCAGACGCAGCCAGCCCCUUCCUCCUUCCCUGCUGGUGCGCUCUGCUCUGCGAGAGGCCGGGCGAGCACCCCACCGCCUCAGUCUCGGUGGUGGCUGGUCCUCCCGCCGAGCCCCCGCGCGGGGCAUGGGGAGCCCCGGGGCGCCGCCCGGAGACGACUCGGCUGCGCGCACACCUCGCCAGCAGCCCGCUGACAGGGACAUGAGCAGUGCGAACGGGGUCCUGCGCCCCGCGGCCAGCCCCAGCCGGCGGUGGCCAGCGGGUCGGCGCUGCCUGGGAGAAUGAGGCAGGAGCUGGCCGCUGCCUCCUCUCUCUCAUCGUCCUCCUGCUCGCCUUCCUCCGGCUCCAGUGCCCCCGGCCCGGGCCCGGCUGUGGCUCUGCUGCGUGCCCCGCGCGCCCCCCGCCCGCCUCCGGAUGCGCUGCUCGGUUAGCCUAGGGAGGAAGAUAAAGACAUUUGCAACCAAGAUGGUAAUCACAAAUGGAAAUGACGAGGACAGAGGAGGUCAAGAAAAAGAGAGCAAAGAGGAGAGCGUCUUGGCGAUGCUGGGGAUCAUCGGGACCAUCCUGAACCUGAUCGUCAUCAUAUUCGUAUACAUAUACACCACUCUGUGAAUGGCCCAGAGGCUCCUCAGACACCUCGGGAUGGCCAAAAGAUGGGAGUCCUGGAUGUCAACCAAGCAGUGACUGGAUACUGCACAAACAAGCAGGCAUGACCUACACAAACCACUCGAUCAAAUGCACCUUCGAACUUCAUAAAAGGUCACAAAAAUAAACCGAUCCUGCUGCAAGGAGCAGACUCUAAAAGCACAAUGAAUCCAACAGAACUCAUUAACACAACAAGGAACUCAACGUCUUUGGCAGGGGGCCCAGAAGACGGCUUGGAAGACCAGGCUUUGACGCCAUUGGCGAGCGGAUGGGUACAGACAUUUAUUACCCCAGAUCGCAGGCAGAUACCACACACCCGAAAAGAGCAACAGGGCAGACGCAGCUCCUCGGCACGUUCCCAGGACAUGCGUUUCAUCUUCAGUUCAGGAGCUGUUUAGCGUGGAAAACCAUAGGGGCAGUCCUUGGACAGGCACCCCACUCAUCAAAAGUGUCUAUUUGAUACUGGGGAGAUAACUUAUUUUUCUUUUUUCAUUGGCCUGACGUGUGUAUCAAGGUUUAUAAAUAUAUAUUUUUAAUAAAUGUGCUCUAUUUUUUAGCAUGAACCAAAUAUUUGGAGAGGUACCCCUGGAUUCCUAGAGCUUUCGUUGGUUCGAUCUGCUUUGCCCCCUAGGCCGCAGAUGUUCUGUUGUGUAGGCAUUCGAGUCCUAUGUCUCUUAUCUUUUACCGUCUCUCUCUUUCUCUUUUUGGUCUGAAGGACAUUUUUCCAUAAUACCCUCCAUAGUCUUGGUUGGUGCAUGUUUUUGGAUUGUCCUUUGAGUGGCUUUUUGUUGUUAUAUAGGAGACACAAAGUGAUUGUGGGCAUGUGGACCUUGGAUGCACCGUAUCCUUACUAAGAAUUAUGCAUGAACAAAGGCUGUGUGAUCCAUCAGCUUCAAGAAAUUUCUAAAGGACUACCACUGAGGAAGAGCGCAGCUCUAUUUGCAAACCAACUGUAGGAUGGACCGUUCCGCUUCUCACUGACAGCAUUCUCAUUUCAUUCUUGUGACCAUGCAUUGAUCAGGUUUUGAUUUUAAUGGCCAUGUACCAUGAAAGAUGGAAAGAAACGGGAAAAGCUCAGCAUUAGGUGCAUAGUCCCUUCCUUAGCGAGCCACCUGGGAUCCUCUUCAAAGUAGAUGGGGUGUGAAUGACACAUGGACUCCGCAGUGUGAGAGCUCACUUCAGGCUAUGAGGACACCCCUGGGACAGGUGACUCUUCAAGGGCACUGGAAGGGACAUAACGAUCGCCCUCAAGGAUUGCUGCGCUUCUUAAAGCUCCUGGUUUACACCCACACGAAGCUACUUUCUCCUCGGCAGGGAUGGUUGAAUAAAUACAGAUUGGCCCUGUUCUGCUGGCUCCCCGAGACUGCCUUUUCCAGGCUGCAGUGGCGUAGCCUUAAAAAGAGGGUCAGGAUUCCUUCUGCCAGCGCCAGCCUUGCCCGUGGGUGAAAGAAGCAGCAACCUGCCUAGUUGGAUUUGAAUGAUGCCCAGAGGUCUCCGCUGCCAGGCCUGUCCCUCUCCAGGCUGUGGUGUCUGAAACUCCACCAUUAGAGAGUCAUUUCUUGGGCUUGGCUAAGGGACCAGGCUCUUUUAUAAAGCAAACGCCCCUGAGCACCUGGCUCUGACAGUGAUUCAUCAAGUGUCUUUCCCACCAGAAAGAGUGAAGUUGACCUGUGUGCCAGGCACUGUACCAGAUGCAUUAUAUUCCUUAAGGCAUUGAAUCCUCACAGUAUCCCAUGAGAGAGGGCGUCUUUCCCCCAUGUUGUAGGAGAAGAAAGGAGAGCUCAGAGAGGCCAGGAGAUGUCCCUGAGAUCACGUGGCUAGGAAUAGCGAGUCAGGACUCAAACCCUGAUCUGCCCGAUUCCUUAGCCCAGUGAGGGCCUGGAUGCUGCUGGGAAGAGAGGAGACAAGAGGUGGACAUAGCAGGACAGGGCCUCGGGGUCGGGACACAAACCCGAUGGCCCUGCUGAGCGCCAGCUCUGCACACUCCCUCCCCUUCCACCUCCUCAGAAAAAUAACCCCUGGGAACUCCUUGGACACUGGCAGAAUAUCAUACCAAUAAGGACGAGGGACAAGAGGAGGCUGGUUUGGAAUAAAAUGGAAUGUGUGAUUCCAGAAAGACUGUAUGAAAAUUCUGAGCAGUGAACAGAGUAAACAAUAAAGGUGCAAAGGAAAAAAAAAA